This is a long non-coding RNA of Lethenteron reissneri (Far Eastern brook lamprey), 2601 nucleotides long. RefSeq lists it as uncharacterized. Lineage: Eukaryota; Metazoa; Chordata; Hyperoartia; Petromyzontiformes; Petromyzontidae. The record is from RefSeq and is a predicted model, not a curated record.
CUUGGAGUAACUUCUAGAACAUUCUAGAACUUCCCAGUAAUAUAAAUAGUAGUAUAAAUACAGGGGCCUUAAGCCCACCAGUUCAGUUUAGUUCCAGCUGCCUAAGUGGAUACAUAUCUGCAUUUUUCUGAGAUGGCAUAAAGAGGCUGCAAGCAUCCGGCAGACGCAUUUUGCUAUGUCUGCGGCCAAUUUAUCAAGACAAGAACGAAGAAGUACUCUGUGGAAGCAUCUGCUACGAUGUGUGAGGCCAACAAGGCAUAUUUCGGCAUGCCUGUCAAAAAUCAAGACAAACCCUGGGCACCUAAUAUCACCUGCGAGCAAUAAAUGUAACUCUGGAAGGAUGGUACAAAGGGGAAAGAGAGCCCUGAAGUUCGCUAUCUCAAGAAUUUGGCGGGAACCCACUGACCACUCAAGCAACUGCUACUUCUGCAUGGUGGACCCUUCCAAACGUCGAACUGGCAAGAAUGCACCUGCUAUGUCGUAUCCGGACCUUCCGUCGUCAAUCGCCCCGGUGCCACACUGCCAUGAGCUCCCCGUACCCACUCCUCCAGAGAGAGAGCAGCCGUCUUUAGAAGAGAGCAGCAAGUCAGGGAGCAAGGAAGACGUAGAACCAGAUGACAAUUUCAGAGAUGGAGCUGAGGAGAGAAACCCAAACUACCCCAACCAAAAAUACCCCAACGACUUGAUCACAGAUCUUGGUCUCACCAAGUCCAAUGCUGAGCUUUUGACGUCUCGGCUCAAGCAGUAGAACUUGAUGUAUGAAAGUGUGCAAGUCGCAGAUCAGCGGAAGCGUCACCAACCUUUUUGUAGCUUCUUCACUCGUCAAGAUGGGCUCUGCUUCUGCCACAAUGUGACCAGUCUGUUCGAGGCAAUCGGGAUCGCCUGUAACCAGAAUGAGUGGCGCCUCUUCAUUGACAGCUCAUCCAAGUGCCUCAAAGUCGUUCUGCUGCUCCAUAAUGGUAACAAGUACCCGUCUCUUCCCCUGGCCCCACUCAGUGCACCUCAAACAGGAUUACAAUAGCAUCAAGACCUUUCUGGACGCCUUGAAGUAUGAGGAGUACGGAUGGGAGGUCAGGUCAUGGGAGACUUCAAAAAGGUGGCAUUCCUGAUAGGUCUCCAAGGCGGUUUUACCAAGUUUCUCUGCUAUGCCUUUGGGACAGCAGGGACACCAAGGCGCACUACUACAGGUGGGACUGGCCACAGUGGACCGAGUUCUCUGUGGGGAGGAACAAUGUCAAGUGGGAGCCACUGGUGGACCUCCGGAAGGUGCUGAUGCCACCACUGCAUAUCAAAUUGGGCCUUAUGAAACAAUUUGUCAGAGCUGUAGAUAAGGAGUCGGCAGCCUUCAAGUAUCUUCAAUACUUCUUCCCUAAGAUGUCUGAUGCAAAGGUCAAAGCCAGUGUCUUUGUCGGGCCACAGAUGAAGAAGAUCCUGGAGUGCAAUUAAUUCCCCAAGAAGCUCACUAGUAAAGAGAAAGUGGCUUGGAACAGCUUUGUCGCAGUGGUUCGUGGCUUCCUGGGCAAUCACAAGGUCGAAAACUACGUGGAGCUGGUUGAGAACUAUGGCACAAUGGGCUGUAGGAUGUCCCUCAAAGUCCAUAUCCUUGAUGCUCAUCUUGAUAAAUUUAAGGAUAACAUAGGAACGUACUUGGAGGAGCAAGGCGAGCGCUUCCACCAGGAUAUACUGGACUUUGAAUGCCGCUACUAAGGACAGUAUAUAAUGAGAACAUGAUGGGAGACUACAUUUGGGGGCUGAUUCGUGAAAGUAUUUACAGUAUAAUCGUAAAUCUCGAAAAACUACUCACUUCUAAAUCUUUUGUAGUAAUUUUGUAUUACUUUAGUGUAAAUACAUGUACAUUUUGAUUCAUGUUGUUUUUUUCUGACUAUGUGAACGAAAAGACACAAAUUUCUCACUGAAAAUAGAUACAUUCCAAAAUAUCACUGUCCUGGUCACAAAAGCAAAGUUUGUGGCGAAUAAUAGCCAUUUUCUAUACAUUUUAGGCAUAAACAAUUACGAAAUAACACUUACUACCCAGGAACAAAAAUUGUGUUACCUAGUGUUAUUCGAGUGAGCACACCCCCCCCCCCCCUCCCACACGCACACCAUACUACUACAGUAAGAGGGGACCGUGCACGUUAACGAAUGCCAUUCCUAAACAAAUUCACAACAACAACAAAACACGGCAACAUUUCCAGUCCAAGUUAAUCCAUCUUCACUGUCCAUUUCUUUUUUGACGAAUAACUUUUGAGAAAUCUACAAUUAUCAAAACGUGCUCACGACAGGGGCCACUCUGCGGUCAUCGGGGUGGGUUUCGAGUUUCGGUCGGCCAGAUUCUUCAAGGCUCAGGAUUUAUUUUUUUGCACUUCGACACUUUUAAAUGGCACAAAAAAAUAGCCGUUAGAUUGCCCAACAUUUUAUGUUGAUUCGUGCCAUCGCCGUCAUACCAACGUGGCUACAUUUGUUGUAAGACGUGGCCCCUUUUUGUACACUAUGAACACGUCACAGAUAUUUCUGCAUGUGGCGCAUUUGUUCACGUCAGCACGUUUCCAUGCAGUGCUUGCGUAUGACCCUCUAUGAUACAGAAAUAAAAUGUACGCGUAA